AGCAGCCGCGGUAAUUCCAGCUCCAAUAGCGUAUAUUAAAGUUGUUGCCGUUAAAAAGCUCGUAGUUGGACCUUGGGCCUGGCUGACCUGUCCUCCUAAUCGAGCGCACGGGUUCGGUCGGGCCUUUCCUUCUGGGGAUCCCGAUGCCCUUCACUGGGCGUCGUGGGGAACCAGGACUUUUACCUUGAAAAAAUUAGAGUGUUCAAAGCAGGCCUUUGCUCGAAUACAUUAGCAUGGAAUAAUAGAAUAGGACAGAGGUUCUAUUUUGUUGGUUUCUAGGACCGCUGUAAUGAUUAAUAGGGAUAGUCGGGGGCGUCCGUAUUCAAUUGUCAGAGGUGAAAUUCUUGGAUUUAUUGAAGACGAACUACUGCGAAAGCAUUCGCCAAGGAUGUUUUCAUUAAUCAGUGAACGAAAGUUAGGGGAUCGAAGACGAUCAGAUACCGUCGUAGUCUUAACCAUAAACUAUG
RNAcentral lists this ribosomal RNA (467 nucleotides) under uncultured fungus. RNAcentral describes it as "SSU rRNA". It matches the Rfam family "Eukaryotic small subunit ribosomal RNA", at positions 569 to 1041 of the family's 1831-position model. Lineage: Eukaryota; Fungi. The record is from RNAcentral.